UACGUAGGGUGCGAGCGUUAAUCGGAAUUACUGGGCGUAAAGCGUGCGCAGGCGGCUUUUUAAGCCAGAUGUGAAAUCCCCGGGCUUAACCUGGGAACUGCAUUUGGAACUGGAAGGCUAGAGUGUAGCAGAGGGGGGUAGAAUUCCACGUGUAGCAGUGAAAUGCGUAGAUAUGUGGAGGAAUACCGAUGGCGAAGGCAGCCCCCUGGGUUAACACUGACGCUCAUGCACGAAAGCGUGGGGAGCAAACAGGAUUAGAUACCCUGGUAGUCCACGCCCUAAACGAUGUCAACUAGGUGUUGGGGAAGGAGACUUCUUUAGUACCGCAGCUAACGCGUGAAGUUGACCGCCUGGGGAGUACGGUCGCAAGAUUAAA
This 376-nucleotide ribosomal RNA is filed under the name uncultured bacterium. Its description in RNAcentral is "bacterial SSU rRNA". It matches the Rfam family "Bacterial small subunit ribosomal RNA", at positions 524 to 898 of the family's 1533-position model. The record is from RNAcentral.